UACGAGGGGUGCAAGCGUUGUUCGGAAUUAUUGGGCGUAAAGGGCAGGUAGGUGGUCUUGAAAGUCUACUGUGAAAUCCCCGGGCUCAACCCGGGACGUGCGGUAGAUACUCCAAGACUAGAGUACUGGAGGGGUUCGUGGAAUUCCUGGUGUAGCGGUGAAAUGCGUAGAUAUCAGGAGGAACACCGGUGGCGAAGGCGGGGUCUCUGGGCCGAUACUGACGUGAGGAGCGAAAAGCCGUGGGGGAGCGAAACAG
Molecule: ribosomal RNA, 256 nt
Filed under: uncultured bacterium
Lineage: Bacteria
Description: partial 16S ribosomal RNA
Rfam family: Bacterial small subunit ribosomal RNA
Source: RNAcentral